RNAcentral lists this ribosomal RNA (301 nucleotides) under uncultured bacterium. RNAcentral's name for it is "partial 16S ribosomal RNA". It matches the Rfam family "Bacterial small subunit ribosomal RNA", at positions 509 to 809 of the family's 1533-position model. The record is from RNAcentral.
CAGCCGCCACGGUAAUACGUAGGGUGCAAGCGUUAAUCGGAAUUACUGGGCGUAAAGCGUGCGCAGGCGGUUUGUUAAGACAGAUGUGAAAUCCCCGGGCUUAACCUGGGAACUGCAUUUGAAACUGGCAGGCUAGAGUCUUGUAGAGGGGGGUAGAAUUCCAGGUGUAGCGGUGAAAUGCGUAGAGAUCGGGAGGAACAUCAGUGGCGAAGGCGGCCAUCUGGGACAACACUGACGCUGAGGCACGAAAGCGUGGGGAGCAAACAGGAUUAGAUACCCCGGUAGUCCCUGUCUCUUAUAA